UUAUUUUCCUUGCGAUCACUCAUCCGUCACCAUCUCCGACUAUCUCUCUCUCUCUCUAAUCUUCAUCUUCCUUUACCAAUCUUCAAGUUAUCCACUUCUACAUGGUAUCAGAGUCAUCAAUGGUUUCAACCAAAGAAACUUCCAUCACCACAUGAACAUUCGCUCGAUGUCCCUUCCGAGCUUGAUAUCUCCAAAACCCAUGGGUUACCAAUGUCUUACAACAUCAACAGUGUGUUUCGCACACCAAUGGAAAAGUUGGAUUAUACCAACUGGAAGUCGCAGUUCGAAUCCGUCCUGAAGCUUCACGAGUUGUCACAUAUUAUAGUCGACUCUCCACAGGAGGAGAAACUUGGAGAUGGGUCUGAGAACCCGAAGUUCGCAAAAUGGCGA
This 390-nucleotide long non-coding RNA is filed under the name Zostera marina. RNAcentral describes it as "long non-coding RNA (ZMAR_LNC002547)". Lineage: Eukaryota; Viridiplantae; Streptophyta; Magnoliopsida; Alismatales; Zosteraceae. The record is from RNAcentral.